RNAcentral lists this ribosomal RNA (513 nucleotides) under Marinobacter adhaerens. RNAcentral's name for it is "bacterial SSU rRNA". It matches the Rfam family "Bacterial small subunit ribosomal RNA", at positions 91 to 600 of the family's 1533-position model. The record is from RNAcentral. Lineage: Bacteria; Pseudomonadati; Pseudomonadota; Gammaproteobacteria; Pseudomonadales; Marinobacteraceae.
UCGAGCGGCGGACGGGUGAGUAAUGCAUAGGAAUCUGCCCAGUAGUGGGGGAUAGCCCGGGGAAACCCGGAUUAAUACCGCGUACGCCCUAAGGGGGAAAGCAGGGGAUCUUCGGACCUUGCGCUAUUGGAUGAGCCUAUGCCGGAUUAGCUAGUUGGUGGGGUAAGAGCCUACCAAGGCGACGAUCCGUAGCUGGUCUGAGAGGAUGAUCAGCCACAUCGGGACUGAGACACGGCCCGAACUCCUACGGGAGGCAGCAGUGGGGAAUAUUGGACAAUGGGGGCAACCCUGAUCCAGCCAUGCCGCGUGUGUGAAGAAGGCUUUCGGGUUGUAAAGCACUUUCAGUGAGGAGGAAAACUCUGCGACUAAUAUUCGUAGGGCUUGACGUUACUCACAGAAGAAGCACCGGCUAACUCCGUGCCAGCAGCCGCGGUAAUACGGAGGGUGCAAGCGUUAAUCGGAAUUACUGGGCGUAAAGCGCGCGUAGGUGGUUUGAUAAGCGAGAUGUGAAAG